UCCCUGGUGGCUUAGACAGUAAAGAAUCUGCCUGAAAUGCAGGAGACCUGGGUUCGAUUCCUGGGUUGGGAA
RNAcentral lists this transfer RNA (72 nucleotides) under Capra hircus (goat). It matches the Rfam family "tRNA". Rfam says of the family: Transfer RNA (tRNA) molecules are approximately 80 nucleotides in length. RNAcentral also lists the same sequence under 1 other name. Lineage: Eukaryota; Metazoa; Chordata; Mammalia; Artiodactyla; Bovidae. The record is from Rfam by way of RNAcentral.